Molecule: ribosomal RNA, 402 nt
Filed under: uncultured prokaryote
Description: bacterial SSU rRNA
Rfam family: Bacterial small subunit ribosomal RNA
Source: RNAcentral
UAGGGAAUAUUGGUAAUGGGCGAAAGCCCGAACCAGCAACGCCGCGUGCGCGAUGAAGGCCUUCGGGUUGUAAAGCGCUUUUUAAGGGGAUGAGGAAGGACAGUACUCUUAGAAUAAGCCUCGGCUAACUACGUGCCAGCAGCCGCGGUAAAACGUAGGAGGCGAGCGUUAUCCGGAUUUACUGGGCGUAAAGCGUGUGUAGGCGGUUUGAUAAGUUGGAUGUGAAAGCUCCCGGCUCAACUGGGAGAGGUCGUUCAGAACUAUCAGACUUGAGAGUGGUAGAGGGAGGUGGAAUUCCGCAUGUAGUGGUGAAAUGCGUAGAUAUGCGGAGGAACACCAGUGGCGAAAGCGGCCUCCUAGACCACUUCUGACGCUAAGACGCGAAAGCUAGGGUAGCAAACG